CUACGGGAGGCUGCAGCUAGGAAAACUUUACAAUGCACGAAAGUGUGAUAAGGGGAUUCUGAGUGCUCAAGCAUUGCUUGGGCUUUUGUCAAGAGUAAACAUCUUGGCGAAUAAGCGGUGGGCAAGACUGGUGCCAGCCGCCGCGGUAACACCAGCGCCGCAAGUGGAACCGCUAUUAUUGGGUCUAAAGCAUCCGUAGCCGGUCUAGUAAAUUUCCUGUGAAAUCGGCCAGCCUAACUGGUCGGCGCGCAGGAAAGACUGCCAGACUAGGGACCAGGAGAGGUUAGAGGUAUUCUGUGGGGAGCGGUAAAAUGCUAUAAUCCACAGAGGACCACCGAUGGCGAAGGCAUCUGACCAGAAUGGAUCUGACGGUGAGGGAUGAAAGUCAGGGGAGCGAUCCGGAUUAGAUACCCCUGUAGUC
This 421-nucleotide ribosomal RNA is filed under the name uncultured archaeon. Its description in RNAcentral is "partial 16S ribosomal RNA". It matches the Rfam family "Archaeal small subunit ribosomal RNA", at positions 323 to 746 of the family's 1478-position model. The record is from RNAcentral.